This 253-nucleotide ribosomal RNA is filed under the name uncultured bacterium. RNAcentral's name for it is "partial 16S ribosomal RNA". It matches the Rfam family "Bacterial small subunit ribosomal RNA", at positions 524 to 776 of the family's 1533-position model. The record is from RNAcentral.
GACGAACCGAGCGAACGUUGUUCGGAAUCACUGGGCUUAAAGGGCGCGUAGGCGGGCUGCCGCGUCCGGGGUGAAAUCCCACGGCUCAACCGUGGAACGGCCCCGGGUACGGGCGGCCUCGAGGGGGGUAGGGGCGUGCGGAACUGUGGGUGGAGCGGUGAAAUGCGUUGAUAUCCACAGGAACACCGGUGGCGAAGGCGGCAUCCUGGACCGGCAUUGACACUGAAAAGCGAAAGCCAGGGGAGCAAACGGG